Molecule: unclassified non-coding RNA, 221 nt
Filed under: Hevea brasiliensis (rubber tree)
Lineage: Eukaryota; Viridiplantae; Streptophyta; Magnoliopsida; Malpighiales; Euphorbiaceae
Source: RNAcentral
AAAUAUGAGCUGGUUUUAUAAUGAUAUCUGGUUUCAUAUUCGCCUUCUAUCACUUAGGUUGCCAUUUACGAGAUCCAAUGUCAAUUUCAAUUCAUUUGCAAUUCAUCACUGGAUGUAAUAUUGAAGUCUGUAUCUUUCACUAUACAGACCCAAUGCUGGCAAGGAUGUAUAGAUUUCGGGCAGAGUAAUUGUAUUUUCCUGAGAUUAUGGGAAGAAGUAGG